AUUUGUAUAGUUUAAAUUAAAACAUAAUCUUUUCACGGCUAAAAUGUAUUUUUCAUAAAUACUACAAAUA
Molecule: transfer RNA, 70 nt
Filed under: Pityogenes trepanatus
Lineage: Eukaryota; Metazoa; Arthropoda; Insecta; Coleoptera; Curculionidae
Description: tRNA-Glu
Rfam family: tRNA
About the family: Transfer RNA (tRNA) molecules are approximately 80 nucleotides in length. Their secondary structure includes four short double-helical elements and three loops (D, anti-codon, and T loops).
Source: RNAcentral